Zingiber officinale is the source of this 562-nucleotide long non-coding RNA. RefSeq lists it as uncharacterized. The record is from RefSeq and is a predicted model, not a curated record. The transcript is spliced from 3 exons. NCBI's taxonomy places the organism in Eukaryota, Viridiplantae, Streptophyta, Magnoliopsida, Zingiberales, Zingiberaceae.
GUUUUUGUCCCAAACUUUGGGACGAAUGCAGUUUUCGUCUCAAACUUUGGGAUGAACUCUCUUUUCGCCCCAAAUUUUGGGACUUCCUAAUAACCCCACUACCCGAUCCCUAAUUCACUCUCCCCUCGAAGCCUCCUCGAUCGUGCGUUCUUCUUCUCUUCGAUCUUCCCUCCCUGACAAAGUCGGCGAAGGAGACGGCGGCAAAGGCGACGAAGCGUCUCAUUUUCCUGUGAGCUUAGUGUGUUUGGAGAUACUCUUUUUUCGUCACCUGUUUUAGGAAAAGAUGAUUUGAUGGGGAAGAUAGUUUGUGGAAAAAGAAGAUGAGUUGAUGAAUGUAUUGUUUAUUUUGAAAAAAAUUAUAUAACUUUAGGAGGGGUAGGACCUGUAUUACUUUUUGGAAUAUUGGACUUAUAUAAGUUCUUAGAGUAUUGAAGAAGAAAGUUCUUGUAUAACUUGUUGAGAACUUUAGAAUUGUAUUAUUGUAAAAUUGAUUUCAAAUAUUAAUAGAUGUGUAUAUAUGUUAAAUAGGAUGUGAUAAUGUUAAUCAGGAUGUGGUAUUUAA